UAUACACCUCUCUAUAUGUUUUACAGAAAAUAAACACAACACAGUGAAAAUACAGUAGUGAAGUGCAAUACACACUUUCAUUAUUAAUCACUCCAGUAUUAUGACACCAGCCUAAACACAAGUGAAGCCCACUGCCCAAAGAGGUGUGAGCAGGAACAGUUCAAUCUGUGUCCCAGGUUUAUCCAGAAGUCUGUCUCCUGUGCACACACGGAAUGUUGCAACACACAGGACACGCGCUCCAGGGUAGAGUCCAGCAGCAGGACAUCCCCACCUCACCCUCCUGUGAUCACAGCAAGGCCAGCACCAAGAUCCUCCAGCUUUCCUAACAACGCCUCCAGUAAAGCCAGGAGAGCCCACAAUAGAGCACACACUCGCUAUUUGGAACGGGGAAAGAAGAUUUCCCAGUCUCCCAGGUGCCCACGGCCUCAGCACCCGAG
Long non-coding RNA from Vidua chalybeata, 437 nucleotides. RefSeq lists it as uncharacterized. The record is from RefSeq and is a predicted model, not a curated record. NCBI's taxonomy places the organism in Eukaryota, Metazoa, Chordata, Aves, Passeriformes, Viduidae. The transcript is spliced from 3 exons.